RNAcentral lists this ribosomal RNA (450 nucleotides) under uncultured bacterium. RNAcentral describes it as "partial 16S ribosomal RNA". It matches the Rfam family "Bacterial small subunit ribosomal RNA", at positions 354 to 796 of the family's 1533-position model. The record is from RNAcentral.
GUGGGGAAUUUUGGACAAUGGGCGCAAGCCUGAUCCAGCAAUGCCGCGUGCAGGAAGAAGGCCUUCGGGUUGUAAACUGCUUUUGUACGGAACGAAACGGUCCGGGUUAAUACCCUGGGCUAAUGACGGUACCGUAAGAAUAAGCACCGGCUAACUACGUGCCAGCAGCCGCGGUAAUACGUAGGGUGCAAGCGUUAAUCGGAAUUACUGGGCGUAAAGCGUGCGCAGGCGGUUUUGUAAGACAGGCGUGAAAUCCCCGGGCUCAACCUGGGAAUUGCGCUUGUGACUGCAAGUCUGGAGUGCGGCAGAGGGGGAUGGAAUUCCGCGUGUAGCAGUGAAAUGCGUAGAUAUGCGGAGGAACACCGAUGGCGAAGGCAAUCCCCUGGGCCUGCACUGACGCUCAUGCACGAAAGCGUGGGGAGCAAACAGGAUUAGAUACCCGAGUAGUCC